CUCCCUCGAUCCCCUUCCUUCCCAUGAAUGCACGCGCCGCAGCCUCCCUCCCUCUCUCUCUACCUGAUCCAGAUCGAUGAAGCCGCCUCUCGCACCGUGUCGGAAGGUCCCUCCGCCGCCACCCCCUCUCCUAGACCCGGCCAUCCUCCCUUCCGCCACCUGCUCCUAUUCUAGUCGCCCCCUUCGUCCUCCCACAACAGAUCGAGCAGGGUCCCCAAACCUCACCGGCGAUAGAUGCACCGCCGCCUAGCAGCGACGGCGUCGCGGCCUGCUGGCUCGCCAGCUUGCUUGUGCUUCAAUGCUCGCCCUCCUUCGAGCUGGCCGGACCGCGGCGGCGUGUUAUCUAGGGUUUGCGGUGACUUUGCCCCACGCCAUCCACGCGCGAACCUCUCCAUCCGCUAGGUUUGGGCUACCGUGUCGCUGGUGUGCCUCUGUCAUUGUUCCGGUGACCCAGAUCUGUCGUCGCUCGAGCUCCGGGACGCCAUGGACUGGAUGGCCACUUCCUCCCCUGCUCCGACGCCAUAGAGGACGCCUCCUCACUGCCACGUCUACUUGCUGCCGCGUCUCUCUGUGGUGGUCUAUUGGUUGUGAUCUCAAUCCGCCCCAAUGGAUUCGCCGACGUUGGUGUGCACUGGGCAGCUCAAGGACACGCUUUAAUUCCAGCAAUAGCGGGAGUGCCAUAUUGGACAAAGGAAGAGGAUGAGAAGAAAUGAGGCUUGGGCGUGAGUGGGUGCUGGGUGGCGGCGGCCUUCCACUACCUGCCCCAUGGCACCUCACUCUACCGCGGUGGCAACGGAAUGCUCAUCACCUCGUAGGGAAGAUUUGAACCAAGUGACCGCAAGGAUUGUUUGACAAUGUGUAGGUCAAUCUCACCCUUGUGGAGAAAUACUAUUUUUUCUCCAGAUUUAGCCUACACUGUCCAGGUUGUAUGCUUCUUCUGAGAUCCCAUCAAGGAUGGUCUGAAGCACUCAGAACAAGCGGAGGGUAGGAGGGCACUAGAAGCUUUGUUUCUCAUUGAUGUUAUGUGUGAUCAACUAAAACUUGUGCUUCUCAUCCAAUCUUUGUAGAACUAUGUUGUUGUGCGCUUGUGCACUUGUUGGUUCCUUUUGUUGUGCACUUGCACUGGUAGAACUACUUUUCUUUGCACUUUUAGAAUUAUUUUGAUGUGCACUUGUUGGGCCUUGAACCUUGGAUGUGUAGAGGAGUCGAUGGAUGAUGUAUUUUAUUUCAUGUGAUUUGCUACUUGUAGGAGAUAUGCCCUAGAGGCAAUAAUAAAUGAUAUUAUUUA
Molecule: long non-coding RNA, 1288 nt
Organism: Triticum aestivum (bread wheat)
Lineage: Eukaryota; Viridiplantae; Streptophyta; Magnoliopsida; Poales; Poaceae
Exons: 5
Source: RefSeq, a predicted model, not a curated record